Molecule: microRNA precursor, 252 nt
Organism: Oryza sativa Japonica Group (Japanese rice)
Lineage: Eukaryota; Viridiplantae; Streptophyta; Magnoliopsida; Poales; Poaceae
Rfam family: MIR807 microRNA precursor family
Source: Rfam
AACCACAAUAUCAAUGAAUGGAUUCACCUGUGAGAUGACGUGGUUAUUUUACCUAGGAUGAGGACGUGGCAUCCUAUUAAUUUCAUGAGAUGGCUGGUAAUAGGAUGCAUGUCAUUGUCCUAUGUGGAACAACCAAGUCGACGUGGCAUCCUAUUAAUUUCAUGAGAUGGCUGGUAAUAGGAUGCAUGUCAUUGUCCUAUGUGGAACAACCAAGUCAUCUCACGGGUGAAUCUAUUUAUUGAUAGUGUGGUU